GGGAGAGCCAAUAUUCCCACCUGCUUCAGACAUGAAUGGUGCUGUAUUGAGCUGCUCCUUUAGCCUGCCCCUGGGAGCCACUGCCACUGACAUCUCUCAGCCUCCCCAGCUGGCAAUAGAGUGAUGCUGCCUGAUCCUGGACUGUGAACAUCCAAAACACGAAGCAAAAUUAGCCUUCUUCCUAUUGAAUUGAAUACACAGAUGACAUCUGUGGAUAUGAAGGGCUGACUGUAUUUGCAGAGGGCAACAGGAGAUAACAACAAAGCUGUAUUCUAAUUCGACUCCUACAUGUCUACAUGGCAGGUGUUUUAGCAGCCAUUGCCUAUGGUUUCUGCAACAGUCGUGGAGAAUGCUCUGAGUUGGGAUCACGUGCCCAACUUGACACCAGUCUUCAAGCCCAGGAAGAUAAGAAUUCUGAGUGACCAGAUCUGGAUUAUAUACCCCUCCCUGAAGUUAGAGCAGGGUUCUAAUGUCCUCAGAACUUAUGGCGUGAGAGUGGAGGAGAGUUGGUUCUCCCAAUACAUGCUAAGCUGACAAAGCCAAACAACUACAUGCAUAGCAUGGGUACCCAAGACUUUCCGGUCACUGACAACCAGAGCUGCAAAUAUUUCAUGUUUUGAAAAGUGACAAAGUGUGAUACUGGGAGAAGUCCUCGUCUACAAAGGAGCAAUUCUGGAUCCCUGUCAUGAUGCUACAGUGUGUGACAACAGGCCUCCCACUAAACCUCCUGGAGCCUCCGUGUCAGUAUAACAAUAGGCCUGAGUUAAUUCUAUACAAGAUCCCUUUCCAUUAAUGACCUAUUGUUUCUAGAGGGAGGAGUUUGACUCCAUGGUUACUUUGUUCUGAUUUCUUUCUUCAGUUUAUGGCAAGCAACCUGUCACAACCAAAAUGCCCUGGAAACUUAAUUGAAAUGAAGAUGAGUUAUAGAAAUGUAAUGUCAGUGUUUCCCUUUUACCUGCUGAGUAUAAUCAUGUCAGAGCUGCCUACAUUUCUUUGCUUCUAAAAAAGCAAAUAUAGAACAGGAGAGGAUCAGAUGAGACUUCAAAAAGCCCAACAAAACAAGACUCUUUCUUUAAAAUUCUACCAUCUGCCUCUUGGGAGAAUCGUACUGAGCUUUUCUCUCCACGCCUGGAUGUGACCCAAAAUGAUUAGAGGGAAAAAAAGUGAUAAUGCAACUAUGGAGACAAUA
Lepus europaeus (European hare) is the source of this 1189-nucleotide long non-coding RNA. RefSeq lists it as uncharacterized. The transcript is spliced from 3 exons. The record is from RefSeq and is a predicted model, not a curated record. NCBI's taxonomy places the organism in Eukaryota, Metazoa, Chordata, Mammalia, Lagomorpha, Leporidae.